ACACACCCUGGGUGAUCGCAGAAGCAGAGCCCCUGCCCAACAGGAUCUUGGCCUCAUCUUGUGGAGGAACGGACCCCCACCUGGCUCUUUGUCCCCUGGAGUGGCCCACAAUCCCCUAGGAGGAAGUGGUCACUGCUUCUGUACGGGAUGUUUCCCCAAAUUCCCCGUGUUUGCAAGAGAAACUGUGAGAUUAGAGGUACAGCAGAGACCCCAGCCCCGGGACAGGAAGGGGUG
This 234-nucleotide long non-coding RNA is filed under the name Homo sapiens (human). RNAcentral's name for it is "LHRI_LNC602.1". The record is from RNAcentral. Lineage: Eukaryota; Metazoa; Chordata; Mammalia; Primates; Hominidae.